Vespa velutina is the source of this 2631-nucleotide RNA transcript. RefSeq lists it as uncharacterized. The record is from RefSeq and is a predicted model, not a curated record. The transcript has 4 exons. Lineage: Eukaryota; Metazoa; Arthropoda; Insecta; Hymenoptera; Vespidae.
GUGUUUCAGCUUGGCGCGGUGGAGAGAGCGUAGCGGCGGCGCGAGAGGGUGCGACGGUGGGGGUAACCGGUAGCUCGGACAGCUCCGUGCUUCUUCGGCGCGAUUCGAGCGCUCAGUCCGACCCGGACGUCCGUGGGAGAUGUGUCUGUCGCUUUUUCGCCGCCGGCACGUACGCACGCAAGGACGCACCGGUGUUGUUCGCGCACGUUGCUCUCGUCUUCAAAUAAUAUAACAAUCCUCGUUAUAGGCCAAUCGAACGAACGAUUCUCGUCGUCCACGUUUUCCUUGAAAACGAUCGCAGAGAUUUUUCCUCUUUUUUUUUUUUCUCGCCCUCCCCUCAAAUCGACGAGAAGAAAGGAAAAACAACAAAGGUCAUCGUCGUCGUUCGUUUACAUUAUCGUUUACAUCCCUCGCGGGACGCGCCAAACGACUCGCGUGACUUUUUCUCCUCUCGUUUAUCUCAAAGGAUAUAAUAAUAUUUAAGAGGAUUCGAAUUUUUUUGAGGGAAGAAAAAGGGAGAAAGAAAAUUUCGUAUUCGGAGUGUGAUAGAACAGACCAGUAACAGAACGGACGAGCGAGAGUAGGUUGCUCGAGAGAGAAAAGGUGCAUCGAGGGACGAAGAAGUUUUAAGUGCGACGGAUAUUCAACUACGACGUCCAUCUUUGAUUUUUUACGAUUUAUUAUUAUACCAUGAAAGACGACGGGCACGACGGAUUCAAAGUAUAAUUUCAAGAAUUGAAGAAAGGAUGAUGAAAAAAAUAAGGGUUGAAGAGUUAUUACCGUGAAAGAAAGAGAGAGAGAGAGAGAGAGAGAGAAAGAGAAAAAAGAGGGAGAGAGAGAGAGAGAGAGAUGAGAGAGAAAGAGUGAGAAAGAGAAGGAGAGACGACUGAAAGUGUCGAAGGUUUUUUUGUUCGAGCGACUACACGAAGGGCGACGAAGGAAAACGAAGUUCGGGCGAAUGUAUAAAGGAGUGAAAGAGAGGAAAGAGAGGAAAAAAAGAUAGAGAAAGGCUAAGGAAGGAAAUAGAAAUAUAGAGAUUCGUGGUUCCGGUUAGUUUCUACUGUGUGUCACGUGACCUUAUAAAGGAUAUUUACUGUGCUUCGUGUUUUUUUUUUUUUUUACGACGAUCGUGCUUGCUUUCUUCGUCGUCCUGUUGAGAAAAGAGAAAAAGAGGCUCUGGCUUUAUUUCUUCGUUUAAGAGACAUCAAGACUACUUCUUUAUUGAAAUCUGCGUUCUACUUGGAAAAUACGACGACGACUCAUAGCUUCUGGAUUCGAGCGAGUUCGCGCCCGAAAAGACGCCUUCGGCUUUGAAUUUUGCACGCGAUUCCGGCCGAGCCUUAUCCGUGUUGCAGAUAAACCAACCAACCAACCAACCUACCAACGGAAUAACGGUUAUUGCGCCUGCCAUUUCUACGAGUCUCGCGGUAAAAGAGAGAGAAAAAAUCUUUGACAUUUCAAUAAUUCGCCCGCGAUAAAACCGUGUCGAGGUACGUAGAGAGAAGGUAGCUAACAGUCUACCUAGGUAGGUAUUUCUAUUUUUCCGAAUGGAAAAAGAUCGUGGCUGCAUCUCGAGAGCUUGACGUAAACGCAGCCAACUAAAAUCAAUAUUCUUUGUGGUAUGUAUUUAACGAAGAAAAAAGAAAAAAGAAAAAAGAAAAAAUUUAUUUCGUAAAAUAUAAAAAAAAUUAUUGGUUUGCUAUAAGAGAGGUAGAGAUAUAAAGAUGGAAAUAUAAAGUGUGUGUGUGUGUGUGUGUGUUUGUAUGUGUGUGUGAAAGAGAGAGAGAGAGAGAUUGAAAUUAUAAAUCGUUAUGAAAAACUAGUUAUGCUUAAAAUUAGAUACGAUUGAUUUGGUAGUUCAAUAUUUAAUAACAUAUUCGAGCAAAAUUUAAUAAUUGGAAACGUGAUACCGUUUAAUCUAGUACAAAAUAAUUGAUCAACCGCUAAUUAAUUUCUAAUAUCUACGAAUACUCAGGAUUCUCGUUUAGAUUCAUUCGGUUCAUUUAUAAAAAUGGUAAAUUAAUUAACAGUAAUCGAAUAGCGAUGAACAUGAUUGCGGCUUUGAUAAUGGUGUUAAUUCAUAGACACGUUAAAUGUGAGAUGCAUCACUGAUAUAGUCUAUCAUUUCUUAUUAAUCAUUACUUAUUAUUAUGUUUUAGAGUGAAAUUUGCCAAAAUGUUAUCGACAUUUGUAAUAUAGUACCCAUUAGAUUUCUCUAUAUUCAUUAUCGAUUUUCGUUCAAUCGGUUGAUAUUUCCCAUGAUAUAAUAUAGAAUAGUCUAUUAACUCUGUAUAUAACCAUUCUCGCUAAAGUGAAUAUUUACAAUGUCAUUAGAUAUGGCCUCGAUCUAUAGGUAGCACAUUAAUUGCACCGUACUCGUAACAGUUUUAUAUGUGUUUCUCAAAGAAGAAAAAUAUUUCGCGAAAACGCGUUUCAUUAAUGAGAUGCAUAUGCAUCGUAGCGUGCUGUUCGACAUCGCGUAAAAUUAACUCGAGAAUUAAGCUUGGUUGGCAAGAAAGACGGUAGCGAAGUUGAGCUUCGCGUUCUUUAAAGGAAAAAAAAAAAAAAAAAAAAAAAAAAAAAGAAAAAAAGAGAAAAAGAAAGAAAAAAAAAGAGAAAAAGAAAGAAAGA